Long non-coding RNA from Gasterosteus aculeatus aculeatus (three-spined stickleback), 7479 nucleotides. Lineage: Eukaryota; Metazoa; Chordata; Actinopteri; Perciformes; Gasterosteidae. The record is from Ensembl.
GUAGGAGAGGGUGAGGCAGGCCUGACAGUAGGCCAUUCAUCCUCCAUGCUAGAAGAGACAAACUGCUGGCAGAGGAAGACAGGCCCCAUAAAUCACUUUCAGCACACACACACACACACACACACACGCACACACACACACACACGCGCACACACACACACACAUGCACAGAAACCCACAUGUGAACAGAAAACACACAUCUCUCCUACAGCUUAUUUUAAAAAGGUCUACAUUUGGUUUUUUUUUCAUUCAGACCAUCUGGGGAUGUUUUUCCUUUUGUUCAGUGGUGGAAAGUAUCUAAGUACAACUACUCUGUACUGCGUAAUGUAGGUACUCGUUUAAGAUACUUGUAUCUUACAUUUACAUCACUCAUCUCCUCGGACGGAAAUACGUUUUAGCUUUACUUUAAAGAGGAAGGUUUACCAAUUUGAACACAAAAAGAUAAUCAAACUACACAGCAGUUUGUGCGACUACAGCGUGAAGGAUUAGUUGAUUCAUUGAUUGGUCAAUUGCCAGAAAAUUAAUUGGCAACUACGUUAAUGGUCCAUUAGGUGUUUUUUCGUGCGGAAACACUGAAUGUUUCCAGCGUCUGAAGAGUGAGGAAGUGCUGCUUUUCCUAUUAGUUACUUUAAUAAUGUCGACGUUUGGCCCCGUCGUCGUCUUUCUGUGUAUCUCUACAUGCCUUUACUUCAUUCGCUUCGGCCACACGUCACAGUGGAGGAGCAAAUAUUCCGGUAACCUUUUGGAUUUUCCUUUUCCCCGUCCAGUAAAAACUGGUCUGGCGGCGGUUGCUCUUCCUCCUCCGUCCAAGGCCGGGCGCCCUGUGACCGAUCCACACGCUCCCCCUGCGGCUUCCGUCAGUCACAACCCCCCCCACUCCCCUCACCCUCCUCCCCUCCUCCCCCGCCCAGUGUGGGGGGGAGAGCAGGGCCAGUUCCUCUUCGUCCGGCCGUGACCUCGGCGCCGCCGUGCACGCCGUGUUUUGACAGCGGGCCACACGCUGACCACGGCCGCCGGGGCCGGUCGGGGAGUGGCCGCCCUCAUGUUUGCACAGGGGGAUGUUCUAUAUAUACCAUUAUAUAUAUGUAUAUAUAUAUAUAUAAUGGUAGAACGGUACUUCCUCUCUUCCAAACAGGUAGAAUGAAAAUCUUUCAUCUCAAAGCCUCUUGAAGGAAACAACAUUGAGGAAAAGUCAUUUAUUACAGUAACACCUGCUAGUGGAUUUACAUAAAGUCACAACUGAAACGUCUGUGCAAAGCUUGUUAAAUUAAACCCAUUAUGGCUCAUUUGCUGCAGAUGUUUGAGCGAUGUUUGUCCACCCGCUUGCUACUUAAUGCACCCACGUGUGCGCUUGGCUUUGUGCGCGAGUGUGUAGCUCGAGCUCGGACAGCAGCCGCUGUUGUGACGCCGUAAAAGUCUCUCGCUCGUCGUUGUGUAACGCGGGAUGUAAAACGCUCGCGUGAGUCGGGUCAGAUGUCCAGAGAGCGAAUGUGACUCCUUAGCUGCCAAACAGCGGAGGGCUUUGUGCCCUGCGUGUUCGUGUAAGCGUCACAUGUAUGUGCGUGAUGGCAAUAAAGUGUAAAAAAAAACACUAAACAACCACAACAACUGUGAGCUUGAGGUUAGAAAAGUUUUAGAAGUUUUCUCUGUAAUUAAGAACAAAACAAGCAGCAUCUCAAGAGACCGAAGAACGUUAUUGUGCAUAAAUCCUGUUUCGGCUUCAGGGUCUUAAGAUAGAGCCUCGUAAAUUGUACCGCAUGUGAUCCAUCUUUGGCCUUUUUAUUCCUACAAAUGUUCUCACGGAAAUAUGUGAGCGUUUGAUGUGGAGAAGGAAUUAAUCCACACCACAGAAAGACUUGAAGCGCAGAAUAAUCGAGCAUGUUCUGCUUUUCAAUCUCCCCCGUCCUGCUCCUCGUUUGUCUCCCUUUAACGUGGGUUUGUGUUUCCCCCCUUCGACCGCAUGUGGGGCAGAGAGGUCAACUCUCAUUAGACGCAAGAUUUCACCUCCCCAGUUUCCUCCUCUUCCUCCAGCCUGCAGGAUUUAAGCGUAACGCAGAAGCCGUGAUGAUUCCAGACGAUGGAGAGGAGGAGAAGGAACAGCUGUUGCUGAAGGGUGUUAUAAGCCAGAGCUAACAUGCUAACAGGCUAAUUGAGCUAAUGUUAGCUACAAGUUACUCCGGCUGACCUCCUAAUGCUUCAUGUGGAAUGAUUUUAGAAUAACAAACGGAGUCUGAAACGAGCACUUUAUUGCUGUUUUGAAUAUUAGCUUAAACUCUGACAAGAGGGAGUUCCUCUGUUACUACUGUUAGCCUGUUAGCCCCAUAUGCUAACAACUGCGGCUCACAUCGCAUCGUCUGUUUUAUGCAUUCCCACACGUUGUUUUUUUUCCUUUUUUUUUUGACCUCACCCUUGGGAUUGUUAACGCACAUUCUUUUGCUCGCCCCGUUACGGUUGCUCGGUUUGGAUGACGGACUGGUUGUUUGACGCCUUUGGAGAGUGCAGUUUAUCUAAACUUUUGGACACCUUGCCUGGGCGAGAGGGACGCUUUGGCUGUCGGAGCCAAUUGAGGGGCUCGAGAAGAGAGGCAUUAAUCAAGCGUUGAGCGCGGUGGCAGACGUCGGAUUGCACAGAGCUGCAAAGCAAAUAUGUCGCUGUCGAUGAGGCAGUGGUGGAUUGCAAGUCGGUGGCUCAGCUGAAUAGCGAGCUAAGCUAAUGUGGGACAGCGGGCCUGUGGAAACUAUUUGCUCUACGUGGUGGGAGGCGUGUGAAUGAGCGAUGCCGCCUUCAUCCUCGCAUCCCUCGUUUUCUGUUUCUUUAUUCUGUCCAUUUUUCCACUUUUAAGGUAGGGGUGAAGGUGUCAUUAGGAUUAAAGAAAAGUCCCCCCGGCCUCCUCCCCAUGGCGUCUCGCUGCAUCCUCAACGUCCAAGAUCGUUCUCGGGCGCAGCAUCAAGACGGCGGCGCCAACCUUGCGGCACUUGUUUGCACAAAUCCUGAAUGGGUCCUCUGUGUCUUUGGCAAAAGUGAGAUUCUGAUGCCAUGAAGGAGAUUCAGAUGCCGCUCUGCACUCACCGAGAGUAAUAACCUCCGACAAAAUCGGACCCCCCUGGUGCUCCUUUUCACGGACACUUUAAAAAGAAAUUUAGUGACAAUUGCAAGCGGUUAAAAAUGGUCUGAAGUGUCAAUCAACCCUUUUUUUUUGCACUUUAACUCGCCCUCUUCGCAAUAAGCUGGUUGAUUCCACAUCGGUGGGGAAAUGUAGCUGUAAGCGUUAAAAGGAGCCCGCCGCGGCGACUUCACCUUGAUGGCUGGGGGGGACGGCGUGGGACGAGUCAAAGCGGGAGUUUAUGGAUCAAUAGCUGUCACAGCUCUGGAGUCCUACGAUCCGUAAAGCUGCCUGCUUAAAAAGAUUAUCACUGCACUGUGUGUGUGUGUGUGUGUGUGUGUGUGUGUGUGCACGAAAGAGAAUAAAUUACAGGGUAAUGAUAUUAAAAGCACAAAGUCGUUAAGAUGCCAAGUUAAGACACAAUAAAUCCAGUCAUGGCUUCUCCGGCCUGUCCCCACGCUGGGUAAUUAAAUUAGAUUUAUAAGCCAUAUUACAUCAGUGCGAGAUGCUUCAUCCUCCCUCGGCUCCGAUACGCCGUCCCUCCAUCCCGCCCCCGCUUUAUUAGACGGCCUGACGCAAAAAUAAAUAAAAUAAGGAGGAAUGUCUCAGGGCUGCGAGAGCUCGGCACCGGGCACUCCGUCUUCCGGGGGGGGGGGGUGUCACCCGUUGUCCGGGGGAUGAUGUAUUAAGCGCUCCUCUGCAGAGGCGAGGCUGUGGCUGUGACCCCGUCACACGGCUCUGUCAUCAUGCACCGUCACUUGCCCCCCACCUCCCACGUCCCCCCCACGUCCCCCCACCCCCAGUGGCAUUCAAGGGAAGGUUGGAUGUGCCAGCGUGGAGCGAGGUGGAGGCUAAGGGGGGAGAGUUAAGGGGGGUGGGGCAACAACAUAAAAGGGACAAAAGACAAAGUAAGGAAAACGUUUUUUUAACGCACCUUCACCUGCUCUUUAGUCUUUUAGCUCACAACAGAUAUAAACUCAUUUCGAUUCAUGAACGCACCAUUCAGAGGACGGACAGAGAACCGCGUGUGUCAAUAAAAAAACAAUCACACACAUGUAAUGAGAUUAACGGAUGAACACGUCAAUCGGGGGAAUGAUUGUGGGCAGAAAACUGCGAAUGCGUUAUUAUUGAUAUUAUUAUUAUUAUGUAGUGUGUGUGUGUGUGUGUGUGUGUGUGUGUGUGUGUGUGUGGGAGGACAUUUAUCUGCUGAAUUAGUUCACACAAUCGAGUGCUGCAGUGAUGAAGUAUUUUCGUCAGCGUCUCCCUGUUUCCCUCAAACGAACUCGUAUGAUCCUUGAACGUUUGAUUUACUGAAGCUUCCAUCGUUUAGAAUAAAACUUUAAAAUCUCUUACGCUUGCCUCAAGCAGCCACCUUUCAGACAUCUUCAGACUCAAAAACACCUGCGACUUUGAGGGGAACCGGAAGUGAAAGAUUUAAUAGAGACUACAAGAUCAAUAUUUACACGUUUUCAGAUGCGAGCUGGGAAAACUCUCACGUUGUUCAGCCUCGUGUGGUUGAUUCCAACAAUCUAUUGCACUUUUAUUAUCGUUAUUAAUCAACGGUUUGCAACCGGCGGGUUGUGAUCAAUAAGCUGGAGUGAAACUAAUUUGGACGUGCGGGUGGAAUCAAUCAGGAGGAGUUUUUAUCUGCAUAACUGCCAGCGAGUCACGCUCGUUAGGGCCAACAUUAGGAGAUGAGAGAUUUGCAGCAUUUUUAAUUGGAACGACAGAACUGAGCCGUCGUUUCUCUUCCUCUUCAUGCUCACUCCUAAUCCCUGAGAUUUGUCCCUUUCUCUUUGUUUCUCCCGUAUAAGUAAUUUUCCACCGGCGCCUCGCAAGCCGGCGCGUACGUGGUGAAUGUUUACCGCGCAACACAGUCGCGCCCUAAUCCUUCUCACCUCUUAAUCAGACAACCAUUAAAAUGGGAUUAGAGGCUAUCUGCCGAAAAUUCCACGUUUCCCGAGCGGGAGGCGUUGGCCUCGUUUGCUAAGCUGGGAUUUCCCUCUUUGGGAAAGCGGCACGAUCCUUUACGCUCAGCGCGGUGAGAGCUUCACACCGGCGAGGCCGCGGCGUUUUAUCCAACCGAUCUAGAGGUCGAUGGUCUAAACUGCUGAAGCGUUCUUUUUUAUUUAUGUUGCCAUAUUGAAGAAUUAUUGUAUUAAGUUUGCAUCGCAAUGGUCAGGUCAAAAUGUCCUGUUUGUAACUCGAAUACCUGUGAAACCAAUUUUUGCGUUUGGCGCUGAUUAGCCAAUGCUAACAUGCUAGCAAGCUAAACCCGCGCGGUCAAAGUGGUGAACAUCAAGCGCGCUAAAAUACCGCUAAAGUUGACCCAUGGUCAUUUAUGAGCGUGUUAGCAUGCUGGCGUUAGCAUUUAGCUCCUACGUGUGAGGUCGUUGCACCUGAAGUGACGGAUUGGUUUUAGUGCUCGAUACCAACCGAACCAAAUGACGAAUUACAAAUUUGUGGCUCCACUGCUUCAGAAAAAUAAUGAAAACUUUUAACAAAAUCACACAAUUGGAAAUGUACAGAUUUCUUGUCAAAAACAGUUUUUAAUUUCACUUUAAAUUCAUCCUUGUCUUGUUCUUGCUUCCCCGUUCGGCGCUCAUGGCAUUCUGCGGUGGAGGGCUACUUAGCACACAACAGUUAAUACCUGUCUAAUUUAUUAGCCUCCUGCCCCGGCCCUGAAGGGCCAUUAGCAACACACACUGACACAGCACACCGCCCUGUGUCGUAAUUUAUUGUCUUAUUACAGUGCUGCAGCGGCAUCAAUUAAUUAUCCAUUAAAGCGCUGCUGUCCCAGGAUUUAUGGAGGGGCCUGUGGGGGCUGAGGGAGAUGCAGUUGGGAGGAAUGAGGGGGGAGAGUAGGUAGAUGUGAGAAAGAGGAGGAGGUAAGUGGGAGAAGGAUGGAAGAAAAAUUUAUGUUUUUUUGGUUGUGCUUUGAUUUGAAAGUUGGAAUACAAACAAAGUUAGCCCAAAAUAAUUAAAAUUAAAGCAACGGCAAAAGAGUCUACGAAUCAAAAGGUGUUUUUCUUGUAAGCAAAUGUUGUUUAACUGACUAUAAAUUACAUUCCAGGCUGAAAUGUGGUAUUUGGCCUUGCUUUAAUUUCCAGGAGGUAGUUCAUCAUUUCCUGUACAAACUGGUCUCCACACUGAGAGCUUUAAUACGGUCGGAAUGAACGAUAUCUUUGGAAAUAGACUGAAGAAAAGCUCCAGCAGAUAUGGACAUUAACGCCAUUACGGUUACUGCUUGAGCUAAAUGGAUAUAUUCACUGAUAUCGGUACGAGCCGCCAUAACACUCAGCAGAUGUUUAAUAGAGUUAACUGCCCCAACCAGCAGAAAAGGGUAUUUACCGUGAGAGGAGUUAUCAGAUGCUCGACUUGCAUCAAAGCUGCUGUUGUUCACCAGCAGAGUGUGAAGCAGCAGUGUGAGGACCUCUUUCAUGUGGUUUGGUAAACUUUAAGUAUUAAACAUUGAAAUGUCAACCGGGAUCUUAUAAUUCCUCAUAAACGUAAUGAUGCCCUCGGGGUUAUUAUGGGAUCCAGUAUAAUGAGAGCUCGACUCAUGUUGGGGAAGUGAAGUUGUCUUUAAGCGCUUUUACAACACGUUUCUUGGGAUUCCUACAACAUAAUUAUAUUUUAUAAUGAUACUUUCAUAUCUGUUAAUCGUCGCCAAAUGCAGAUGUAUAUUUUAUAUUUUAUUAUUAUUAUUUCCGUUUUAUAUACCCAUUGUUAAUAUAUCCUGUUUAACCUUCUCUAUCUGUACUUUAAUGCCGUGGUGAAUAUAUGGAACAGACUUCACUGCGUUCACUCCCUCUGCCCUCAAAACCUGCGCAUGUGAGACAUACACAGCAGAAGAAUGUCCUGCCCCUCCCAAACACCUCCACCCCCAACCAGCGACUUCCACCCAAACACCAUUUGUACAGAAAACAAAGUGUUUUCCAGCACUGACAGGGAGGAUGGAUUACUUCCAUUACGCUCUACAAGGAGCACGUUCUGUCCAGAGGAAAGCGCUGUAAGUUAUUGCAGAAGGUGCUGCUGCUAACAAGUCCGGUGAUCCGGGGCUAAUGGGGUUCAUGUUCACUUAAUGCAUCCCGGAGAGGUGGCAAAUCAAACGCACCCAAAUGAGCAUCACCACCAGCGCCAUCGCCUCCACCAGCAUCACCACCACCACCAAAUCCACCAACAUCACCUCCACCAGCAUCACCUCCACCAGCAUCACCACCAUCACCAUCACCACCACCACCAACAUCACCACCACCACCACCAAAUCCACCAACAUCACCUCCACCAGCAUUACCACCACCUCCACCAAAUCCACCAACAUCACCUCCACCAGCAUUACCACCACCUCCACCAAAUCCACCAACAUCACCACC